This 65-nucleotide ribosomal RNA is filed under the name uncultured Halomonas sp. HD-2000/7. RNAcentral's name for it is "partial 16S ribosomal RNA". Lineage: Bacteria; Pseudomonadati; Pseudomonadota; Gammaproteobacteria; Oceanospirillales; Halomonadaceae. The record is from RNAcentral.
GGAUAACCUGAGGAAACUCAGGCUNAUACCGCAUACGUCCUACGNGAGAAAGGGGGNUCUCUUCC